UUUGUACGUGUACAGCGUUUUCGUUGCUGCCCACGAAACGGUAAAAUUAUGUAAAUUCUGUCGUUGUGUUAGGUGUAAUUUUUAGACCGUCGUGUACAUUAUGGCUUGCGGUAACGGCGUACGGGAUUUCUUGCACCAGAUGCUUCCAUGAUAAUAAACUCGUUACGUUUACGUAUUGGAUGCGUAGGAGCUACUCAGAAGCAAACCUCUACCUUCCUAAUGUAAAGGAAAAUUGCCGCGUUCCGCAUCUGCUGAAACCAAACAGACGAUCUUUGCUCGAUAAAUCAUGCAACUGUAUGUUAUUCUGGAUGAACGUGCCUCGUUAACUAAAUAGCCAAAUUCAGUGAAGUGAGUUCGGGUAACGCUGGGCACUUAGCGUAGUACGCAAUUUACCGUUUAUCGAAGUUUCAUCCCAUAAACAUAAUGAGAUCUCCUCUGUCCGGUUUACUUUGUCCCACCAACUUCUGCCUGCGUCAACCCAUAUAAUUCGAUAAAACAAUAUUAAAAUCUGUCUUCAAUGCAUGCGAGUAAUAAACGAUUUUAUUAUACCGGGACUAACGAGCGAUAUCAUUAGAAGUUUUACAUAAUACAUACGUGUGUCAAAGCUAACUGUUCACCACGAUGUAGACUACCGUGUCGAUAAGCAGCUAAUGGUAGAGAAAUAACUUAAAAACGUUCUAACUGCAGGCGUAUCGAUAUAUACCUUUCUGAAUGACAUUGGAUUUUGGGCUAGUUACUUGGCUGUGUUUUUUACUUACUUUCAAAAUUACAGAAGUACCUAAAGAUUGCAAUAUAUUUUCUGUAUUGAAAUGUUCCACUUCAGUGAAAAACUCAUCGCCAUAGUCCAUAAAAGUACCCAUAAAAAUGUAUCGUUCGAGUCGGUUUUCUGAACUUGGUUAACUUAGUGGUUAGUAGUUACAGAAGUUGAAGAAAAUGCAAGCAACGAGUUCAUUGCAGAACAAGCAUUGCGGAUUCAGUCCCUACAAAAGUGUUCUAAGUACGGGAGUACUUUUAAAUCAAUUCACAGUAUUGGCUCAGAUAAAGAUAAAGCGAUGAUAUAGUUUAGCGAGCUCGUUUAAAUGAAGCUCAGUAGAUACGUACUUUUUAUCUUAUUUUAAACGAUAGUAGUAAUUCUCCUAAUAACUUACACUAUUCAAAUUUAAACUAGCACUUACUGAACGACAAUAGGCAGCUGAUUGUAGGACAGAUUGACUCGCAUUUCCGGUAUAGUAGGACGUUAUUGAUGAUCACCACUGGAGCAACACAGGUAGAUACUCGCCGAAUUGCAUGACAUUGAUAAUUGUAUAGUUUUUUUUUUUUUUUUUUUGCAGGUCGUUAACUCGUACUAAAUUGUACGUUUUUGAUCCUCCUAACCUCGUUCCAUACAAGUAACGAAUUUUAAUAUAACAGAUACUACAUUUGUUAAUAAAACUAUUAUUAUUACUUUUAUAUGUAUUCUCUUUCGAAAAUUCGCUUCAACUUACUCGGGGUGACGCGGCAAAAUGCUCUGACCGAAUACGCUUCUGCCGUACCUAAACGCAACGUGAGUGGAACGACAAAGACCGUCGAAGAGCAAAGCCUACCGCAUAGAUGCGACAUCAAUGUAGAUCUUUCAGCCAGGAAGCCUUCGUGUGCAAUUGAGAGUGGUCCAAUGGAGCAGGGAAUGCUAGGUCUGCGACGACGUGAGAAAAAAUCGGCUACUCCGACUUGAUUUGGGGUAGAGGAAUCAUUUUUGCUGGAAGAACACGACAGACAACCGAAUCCUGUGUAAACGAGGGCUAUAUCUGAGAAUAGCAACAGUAACAGCGACGAGCCUCAAACUGGCCAGAGCCUAAUUCUUUGCUUAUAGUUCAUGGAAACGAUGUACAGUGAUAGUAAUAAUAAUGAACAGUGUCGUAUAUACCAAUAAUCAUAAUUGGAAAAUAAAA
Long non-coding RNA from Varroa destructor (honeybee mite), 1928 nucleotides. RefSeq lists it as uncharacterized. The record is from RefSeq and is a predicted model, not a curated record. Lineage: Eukaryota; Metazoa; Arthropoda; Arachnida; Mesostigmata; Varroidae.